UACGGAGGGUGCGAGCGUUAAUCGGAAUCACUGGGCGUAAAGCGCGCGUAGGCGGCUUUUCAAGUCAGGGGUGAAAUCCCACGGCCCAACCGUGGAACUGCCUUUGAAACUGUAGAGCUUGAGUGUCGGAGAGGGUGGCGGAAUUCCAGGUGUAGGAGUGAAAUCCGUAGAUAUCUGGAGGAACACCGGUGGCGAAGGCGGCCACCUGGACGACAACUGACGCUGAGGUGCGAAGCGUGGGUAGCAAACAGG
This 252-nucleotide ribosomal RNA is filed under the name uncultured bacterium. Its description in RNAcentral is "partial 16S ribosomal RNA". It matches the Rfam family "Bacterial small subunit ribosomal RNA", at positions 524 to 776 of the family's 1533-position model. The record is from RNAcentral.